This 60-nucleotide transfer RNA is filed under the name Tricholepidium sp. JinXH 11505. Its description in RNAcentral is "partial tRNA-Leu". The record is from RNAcentral. Lineage: Eukaryota; Viridiplantae; Streptophyta; Polypodiopsida; Polypodiales; Polypodiaceae.
UARAACGAAAAUCCGUUGGUUUCACGGAACCGUGAGGGUUCGAAUCCCUCUAUCCCCAGC